GGAAAAAGUUUUUCCUCCAAGGAAAAUUUGAAGCUGCAAAUUUCCUCACAGGAAAAAGUAUUUCCUCAAGGAAAAUUUGAAGCAGCAAAUUUCCUCAAAGGAAAAUUUGAAGCCGCAAAUUUCCUCAAAGGAAAAAGAAGUUCCUCAAAGGAAAUAGAAUUUCCUCUAAGGAAAUAGAAUUUCCUCAAAGGAAAUGUUUAUGCAGCAAAUUCCCUAAGGGAAAUCUUUUUCCCUUGAGGAAAAAACAAUUUCCCUUGAGGAAAAAUCUUUUUCCUUUAGGGAAAUUUGAUUUCCCUUGAGGAAAACUACUUUUCCUCUGAGGAAAUUGUUGAAAAAAGGGGCAUAACUUUUUCAACAGUGGUGCUAGAGCAAAAAAAUUUUAGGACAAAUAUCAGGGAACCAAUACCAACC
RNAcentral lists this long non-coding RNA (411 nucleotides) under Mytilus galloprovincialis (Mediterranean mussel). Lineage: Eukaryota; Metazoa; Mollusca; Bivalvia; Mytilida; Mytilidae. The record is from RNAcentral.